AUUGAACGCUGGCGGCAUGCCUUACACAUGCAAGUCGAACGGCAGCACGGGUGCUUGCACCUGGUGGCGAGUGGCGAACGGGUGAGUAAUACAUCGGAACAUGUCCUGUAGUGGGGGAUAGCCCGGCGAAGGCCGGAUUAAUACCGCAUACGAUCUACGGAUGAAAGCGGGGGACCUUCGGGCCUCGCGCUAUAGGGUUGGCCGAUGGCUGAUUAGCUAGUUGGUGGGGUAAAGGCCUACCAAGGCGACGAUCAGUAGCUGGUCUGAGAGGACGACCAGCCACACUGGGACUGAGACACGGCCCAGACUCCUACGGGAGGCAGCAGUGGGGAAUUUUGGACAAUGGGCGAAAGCCUGAUCCAGCAAUGCCGCGUGUGUGAAGAAGGCCUUCGGGUUGUAAAGCACUUUUGUCCGGAAAGAAAUCCUUGGCUCUAAUACAGUCGGGGGAUGACGGUACCGGAAGAAUAGGCACCGGCUAACUACGUG
Molecule: ribosomal RNA, 486 nt
Filed under: uncultured bacterium
Lineage: Bacteria
Description: partial 16S ribosomal RNA
Rfam family: Bacterial small subunit ribosomal RNA
Source: RNAcentral